UCGCGGGUCGUAUAACAGUAAGUUUUUCGCCCAAAUUCAAAAUCUAAUCCAUUUUCUCUCCUCAAAAUAUCUCUGCCUCCUCUCUCUCCUCAAAGUCUCUCUCCCAUUUUCGCCGGCAUCAAAGCUACAACGGAGUUGGCGAAGGUGGCUACGAAGGUGAAGAUGCGGCGGCGGUCUCUCUCCAUCCACGAAACCUCUGCCUCCCUCUGUAUCCUCAAACUCGACGCCUGACAUGGAACCGUUGAAGCUCGGCGGUGGCUUGUGGUGGUGGAAUGUUGUUUGUCGUUGUGAUGGUUGUGGACGCGAACGAGUGGAAGAUCGGUGACACGAAGCUCAACUUAGAUCUGCCUGUGAUCUCUAUGAGAAAACUCCCAAGGGUUCCAGCAAAAAAAACAUGUCGCGAAGAAAAGAAACAGAUCGCCGGCGAGAAACUAGAGAUGAAGGAGAGGAAGAAGAAGCGCCGACGUGAAGAUUGAGAUCCGCCAUUGUUUGAUGUUAUGUGCUCUGGUUCUCCUUCUUUCUACUUUGACAUACCUCAGACUUGGAAAUAUUCUCAAUAUGUUGGUGCUGGUUGAAUGAGUUCCUUUUGCUGUGGUGGAACAAAUGUUGUGGUUGUUGUGUUGGUGGCUCUGAUUCCCUGGUUGCGGCUGUGGCGGUGGCGGUGGCAGCAAUGCAAAGGAACAAUGUUGCAGAGGCCUCGCAAGUCGUAACAAAUUUGGUUUAGUCAUAGUUUGGUUAUAUUUAGUUAAUAAAAAAAAUGGUUUAGUAAUAAUUUGUAUUUUAAAAUUGCAAAGAAAUGCAAUUAAUAUCCAAAUCUGUAUUGUAACAAUUUUGUUUCAUUUAUUUUAGUCAUGAUUAAAUAAGUUUUAGUUAAGAAUGAAUUCAUUUUAGUCACACAUUUGUUGCA
Molecule: long non-coding RNA, 907 nt
Organism: Spinacia oleracea (spinach)
Lineage: Eukaryota; Viridiplantae; Streptophyta; Magnoliopsida; Caryophyllales; Amaranthaceae
Exons: 2
Source: RefSeq, a predicted model, not a curated record